CUUCUGUGGGUAUGUAGGUACAACUGAUUAGAUAUGUCUUCUGUGGGUAUGUAGGUACAACUGAUUAGAUAUGUCUUCUGUGGGUAUGUAGGUACAACUGAUUAUAUAUGUCUUCUGUAGGUAUGUGGGUACAACUGAUUAGAUAUGUCUUCUGUGGGUAUGUAGGUACAACUGAUUAUAUAUGUCUUCUGUGAGUAUGUAGGUAUAACUGAUUAUAUAUGUCUUCUGUAGGUAUGUAGGUACAACUGAUUAUAUAUGUCUUCUGUAGGUAUGUAGGUAUAUCUGAUUAGAUAUGUCUUCUGUAGGUAUGUAGGUACAACUGAUUAUAUAUAUCUUCUGUAGGUAUGUAGGUACAACUGAUUAUAUAUGUCUUCUGUAGGUAUGUAGGUAUAUCUGAUUAGAUAUGUCUUCUGUAGGUAUGUAGGUACAACUGAUUAUAUAUGUCUUCUGUGGGUA
Long non-coding RNA from Limulus polyphemus (Atlantic horseshoe crab), 456 nucleotides. RefSeq lists it as uncharacterized. The transcript is spliced from 3 exons. NCBI's taxonomy places the organism in Eukaryota, Metazoa, Arthropoda, Merostomata, Xiphosura, Limulidae. The record is from RefSeq and is a predicted model, not a curated record.